GUUUAUUUCGUAGUGUAAGUCAUCAGCUUUACCGAACAGAAAGUCGUCAUGCCCAAAUAAGAGCUCUUGCAAUCCAACAUUUAAUAAACUGCCCAGAACAUUUCAUAGAGUCUAAUACUGAACAAUCAUGGUCGCAUUAUUUACAGAAUAUGUCAAGGCUAGGCUCAUGGGCAGACCAUAUUAUCAUACAGGCAGUUGCGAAUGCAAAAAAUUUAAGAAUUCACAUCACAGAAAGUGCGCAAAAUUUUACUGAAAGUACAGUUGUAACCUCUAUUUAUGCUCAGGGAAAUGUAAGAGAUAUUUAUAUCGGACAUCUUGACGAACUGCAUUAUGUUUCUACAAUGCCAAUUGAGCAAUCUGCCUCUCAACAAAUAGGAAAUCAGACAGCAACUGAUAAAGAGGGUCCUGAAGGGGUAAAAUGGGAACUGGGAUUGAUCUAUUUUUAGACUGGAAAAAUGGGAUUUGGGUUGCUGGGACUGGGAUUUGGCCACUGGGAAUGGGAAAUGAAGUCCUCAAAAAUGAGAACGGGAUUAAGGUAAUGCCAGUCGAUUCCCAAUUUUUCUGCGUUUUGAGUAUUUUAAAAUACAAUUUCGAUCCGUUUUUGGUGUCUGUGGUCAUGAUUUUUGUUGUUAACUAUAUUAUUCACAGCACUACCUGCAAACAGGCAUAUUCUGGCGCCCGGAAUUCUGGGUUUUCUGAUUAUGCGUCUCAGAAUGCUGCAAAUGCCAUUUCCGGGAUUCAUGCAGUGUCCGCCACUUGCUUAAAAGGUCUUAAAACUGUUUAUUCUACCGAUAAAUAAAGGGGUUUUUAUUGACUGGGAUUUCAAUAACUGGGACUGAGAUUUCUAAUAAAAUUCCAACUGGGACUGGGAUUUUGCCAAAAUUUCAGGUGGGAAAUGGGAUUGCGAUCCCCCCUUCAGGACCCUCGAUAAACAAAAACCAAACCCACAAAAUUCGCAAUCUAAUACUAAUAGUAAUAAAUAUAUCUCAGAAAAGUCCGUCUCAAUGAAAAAAAAUCAAAAAAGAAAAGAAUACAUGAAGGAAUACAUGAAAAAAAGAAGGUCGAACAACGAAUUUAAAAAAAAAGAAAGCGAGAAAAAAAAGUCAUAUAAUAAGAAUUACAAAAACUCGAAUUCUGAAAAAUUUAAGGAAUCUUGGCAAAAAGCCAGUGCAACAUACAAAGAAUCAAAUCCUGAAAUAGUAAAAGAAAUUUUUAAGACAGCCACUGCAACAUACAGACAAUCAAAUCCUGAAAAAGUAAAAGAGAGUUUUAAGAGACAAUGUCCACUAAAACCGAGCAAAAUCGAGAAUACGUGGCACAUGAGGAA
Non-coding RNA from Paramuricea clavata, 1327 nucleotides. The record is from the annotation of a GenBank genome assembly. Lineage: Eukaryota; Metazoa; Cnidaria; Anthozoa; Malacalcyonacea; Plexauridae.